Molecule: ribosomal RNA, 440 nt
Filed under: uncultured bacterium
Lineage: Bacteria
Description: partial 16S ribosomal RNA
Rfam family: Bacterial small subunit ribosomal RNA
Source: RNAcentral
CCUACGGGGGGCAGCAGUGGGGAAUAUUGCACAAUGGGGGAAACCCUGAUGCAGCGACGCCGCGUGAGUGAAGAAGUAAUUCGUUAUGUAAAGCUCUAUCAGCAGGGAAGAAAAUGACGGUACCUGAGUAAGAAGCCCCGGCUAACUACGUGCCCGCAGCCGCGGUAAUACGUAGGGGGCAAGCGUUAUCCGGAUUUACUGGGUGUAAAGGGAGCGUAGACGGCAGUGCAAGUCUGGAGUGAAAGGCGCGGGCUCAACCCCCGGCCUGCUCUGGAAACUGUACGGCUAGAGUGCAGGAGAGGUAAGUGGAAUUCCUAGUGUAGCGGUGAAAUGCGUAGAGAUUAGGAGGAACACCAGUGGCGAAGGCGGCUUACUGGACUGUAACUGACGUUGAGGCUCGAAAGCGUGGGGAGCAAACAGGAUUAGAUACCCCAGUAGUC